Molecule: transfer RNA, 71 nt
Filed under: Chloroflexota bacterium
Lineage: Bacteria; Bacillati; Chloroflexota
Also listed under: 1 other name
Description: Chloroflexi bacterium tRNA-Cys
Rfam family: tRNA
About the family: Transfer RNA (tRNA) molecules are approximately 80 nucleotides in length. Their secondary structure includes four short double-helical elements and three loops (D, anti-codon, and T loops).
Source: RNAcentral
GGCGACGUCGCCAAGUGGUAAGGCAGGGGUCUGCAAAACCCCCAUCGCCGGUUCGAAUCCGGCCGUCGCCU